UCCCUGGGUCCUGGGAGGCUGGCUCCUAGGGACUGAGUUACCUGGGAUCCUAAACGCCACUUAGCUUGACCUCAGCAAGUACCAACAGAAAGUACCAGGGCAGGAAGGGAGAGGGUUGGGGUAUUUCUUCCCUGUCACUUUCCUAUGUGGGCCACUGUUCUGCCGCUGGCUGGGUCCCUUCUAUACUCAGUCCCCACAGGGUAGUCCCUCCUUCACGCUUGCGGCCCUCACUGGAUUCCAAUGACAGUAGCUUGCCCUACGGCUUACUGCUACUGUUCAACUCUGGACAUCUUGUUCUCCUUCGCUGAAUCCCUUUACAACGCCCACAACUUUCAGUGCCUUCAUUAAAAUGCCUUCAUUUGCACUUUCAGAGUAGAAUCCUGUUUCCUUCUGAAGCCCUUCCUAAUUGAUAUACUUAGGGCCAUCUUCCUUAACACCCCAGACCUGCUGGUUUCGGAGCCAUCGACCUCCUCAUUUCCACCGCAGAGGGCUGGAGGAGAUUCAGAAAAUCAGGGCAGGGCCCAGGAGAAGGUUCUUUCAGAGCAUGGCUUCAGCCUGGUUACUUCUGACACCAGCCAGGAGGAACAGACUUCUUCCCCAUACAGCAGGUACCACCAGAAGUACCUGAGCAAGAUCACCCUCAGCUCCUGCAGCCUCAGGGCACCGGAGUGUCCUGUCCACGGGGCAUUUGUUACGGACAAAGAUUUGUGUGGCCUUUCACUUUGCACGCUGAAGCUUAACCCUGGCUGCAACGGGACGGGGGGCCACCAAGGAAGUCAUUAAGGUUAACUAAGGUAUAGGGUGGUGCCCUGGUUGACAGGAUGGUGGCCUUAUGAGGACACUUACAAGAUGGACGCCCACUUGUCCCCCGACCCCUCUGGCACAGGAACUGAGGAAGAGUCACAAGAGGACACAGCAGAUGUUGGUCACCUGCAGGCUAGGAAGAAAGCCCUCCCCAGGAACCUGGGUCUUGGGGACUUCCAGCCUCCACUGUGGGAAAGAAAUGCGUGUUGAUCAGUCCACCCAGUCUAUGGUGUUUUGUAACGGUGGCCAGAGCAGACAAAGACAGUAUGAAAACAUAACUUCUCCCCACACGCUGAAGUUAUAACAGCAAUGCUUUCAACAAAUUGGGCAACGCUUUUGUGGUUCCCACUGGGCGAGUGUUGAAGCUUACAAAACACAAAGGCAUUUUUGAACGUCUGGUCUUUGAGGUAUAAUUUCUAUUCAGCAAAUUCACCACUUCAGGAUGGAUGGUUCUGUGAAUUCUGAUGAAUGUAAAUGGCUGUGACCAGACAUAGAACUUUGGCCGAAUGUGGUGCCUCAUGC
RNAcentral lists this long non-coding RNA (1326 nucleotides) under Homo sapiens (human). RNAcentral's name for it is "PREDICTED lncRNA (TCONS_00253635)". The record is from RNAcentral. Lineage: Eukaryota; Metazoa; Chordata; Mammalia; Primates; Hominidae.